GGUCCCGUGGUGUAGUGGUUAACAUGCCUGCCUGUCACGCAGGAGAUCGCCGGUUGACCCCGGUCGGGACCGCCA
RNAcentral lists this transfer RNA (75 nucleotides) under Bacillus cereus. Its description in RNAcentral is "tRNA-Asp". It matches the Rfam family "tRNA". From Rfam's summary of the family: Transfer RNA (tRNA) molecules are approximately 80 nucleotides in length. Their secondary structure includes four short double-helical elements and three loops (D, anti-codon, and T loops). Further hydrogen bonds mediate the characteristic L-shaped molecular structure. tRNAs have two regions of fundamental functional importance: the anti-codon, which is responsible for specific mRNA codon recognition, and the 3' end, to which the tRNAs corresponding amino acid is attached (by aminoacyl-tRNA synthetases). tRNAs cope with the degeneracy of the genetic code in two manners: having more than one tRNA (with a specific anti-codon) for a particular amino acid; and 'wobble' base-pairing, i.e. permitting non-standard base-pairing at the 3rd anti-codon position. Lineage: Bacteria; Bacillati; Bacillota; Bacilli; Caryophanales; Bacillaceae. The record is from RNAcentral.